CCCGCCGAACCUAAGCGUAUCAUUUAGCGGAGGAAAAUAAACUAACAAGGAUUUCCUUAGUAACGACAGUGAACGGAGAGAAGCCCAGCGCUGGAUAUUUCGGUAUUACACCGUUAAAGAAAUGUAGCCUAUAGGUGCGGUUUUCAGUUUGUGCUGCACGUUCAAAGUCCCUUUGAUAGGGGCCACAUUCCUGAGAGGGUGCGAGACCUGUGCGGGCAGUGGAGCAAAGUACGAUCAUACCUUGGGGUCGGGUUGCUUGGGUUGCUUGAAAGUGCAGCCUAAAGUGGGUGAUAAACUUCAUCUAACGAUAAGGGUAAAUAUAGACUCGAAUUCGAUAGCAAACAAGUACUGUGAAGGAAAGUUGCAAAGAACUUUGAAGAGAGAGUUCAAGAGAACGUGAAAUCGCUGAGAGAGAGAGUUCAAGAGAACGUGAAAUCGCUGAAGUGGAACGGGAAAGAGUUGACGUAGCCGGGUAACUAAGUCUACUUAUGUCGCUUAAUUGUGACUGAGGGAGAUGUAUGCUUCUUACGGCUGCGCUGACAGCGCUGGCCGUGCAUUCCGAACCGUUUAGCAUUGCCCACCACUUCGGCGGUGGUGUCUGGCUGGCGGAUAGGUUUGUCGGGUCUAGCGUUUUUGCACUACUUCAUUGUAGUGUGUCAGUGUGAAAAUCGACCACCUCUCCGACCCGUCUUGAAACACGGACCGAGGAGUGUAACUUAUGCGCGAGUUAAAGGGUUAAAAGCCCCAAGGCGUAAUGAAAGUAAAGAUCGGUUGACCGGCUGACAUGGGAUCCGUUUCGUUUACGAAGCGGCGCACCAUGGCCCUGUCUUGGCUGCUUGCAGAUGAGCAGCGUACAGGUUCCGACCCCAAAGAUGGCGAACUAUGCUUGAGCAGGACGAAGUCAGAGGAAACUCUGAUGGAAGUCCGUAUCGGUUCUGACGUACAAAUCGAUCGAUAAACUUUGGUAUAUGUAGGGGCGAAAGACUAAUUGAACCAUCUAGUACCUGGUUCCCUCCGAAGUUUCCCCCAGGAUAGCUGGAGUUCAUAGCGGUUAUAUCCGGUAAAGCGAAUGAUUAGAGAAGUCGGUACCCGCUAAGGAGUGUGUAACAACUCACCUGCCGAAUAAACUAGCCCUGAAAAUGGAUGGCGCUUGAGCGAGAGACCUAUACCCAAGCGUUGCUGGUUUGUGCGUUGUCUAGCGCCUGACCGCAACGAGUAGGAGGGUCGUGGCGGUUGCGUCGAAGGCUUUGGGCGUAGGCCCAGCUGGAGCUUCCGUCAGUGCAGAUCUCGGUGGUAAUAGCAAAUAUUUAAGUUCGAUCCUUGAAAACUGAAGUGGAGAAGGGUUUCACGUGAGCAGUAGUUGAAUGUGGGUCAGUCGAUCCUAAGAUACUGGCGUAUGCCUUGUAUCAUCGAGAUGGAAAAGUCUCUUUUCUCUCGGAUAUCAAAAGGGAAUAGGGUUAAUAUUCCCUAACGCAGACACAGNCGCACCACGAUGUACAACGUCCACAAGCAGGUAACGCAUUCGAACUUGGUUACGUCGCGCAGAGAGCGAGCUGGAGUUCUCUUCUCUAGUUAAGGAACGGACUCCCUGGAAUCGGUUCAGCCGUAGAUAGGGACGUUGUUUCCGUAAAGCAUCGCAGUUCCUGUGAAGUCUUGUGUUCCCUGGAAGGCUCUUGAAAAACCAGAAAAUGCUAUUAAUAAGUGCUGCAUCGUACUUAUAUCCGCAUCAGGUCUCCAUGAUGAACAGCCUUUAGCC
Heligmosomoides polygyrus is the source of this 1756-nucleotide non-coding RNA. Lineage: Eukaryota; Metazoa; Nematoda; Chromadorea; Rhabditida; Heligmosomidae. The record is from Rfam.